This 303-nucleotide ribosomal RNA is filed under the name uncultured bacterium. Its description in RNAcentral is "bacterial SSU rRNA". It matches the Rfam family "Bacterial small subunit ribosomal RNA", at positions 355 to 650 of the family's 1533-position model. The record is from RNAcentral.
UGGGGAAUAUUGCACAAUGGGCGCAAGCCUGAUGCAGCCAUGCCGCGUGUAUGAAGAAGGCCUUCGGGUUGUAAAGUACUUUCAGUCGGGAGGAAGGUGCCAAGGUUAAUAACCUUGGCAAUUGACGUUACCGACAGAAGAAGCACCGGCUAACUCCGUGCCAGCAGCCGCGGUAAUACGGAGGGUGCAAGCGUUAAUCGGAAUUACUGGGCGUAAAGCGCACGCAGGCGGUUGAUUGAGUCAGAUGUGAAAUCCCCGGGCUUAACCCGGGAAUUGCAUCUGAUACUGGUCAGCUAGAGUCUU